RNAcentral lists this long non-coding RNA (282 nucleotides) under Vigna radiata. Its description in RNAcentral is "long non-coding RNA (VRAD_LNC014429)". Lineage: Eukaryota; Viridiplantae; Streptophyta; Magnoliopsida; Fabales; Fabaceae. The record is from RNAcentral.
GUGUGUCUGGGGUAUCGGGGGUGUUUGGGCUGUUUAGUUAACUUAGAUUAGUGAAAUGGAACCUGUGUGAGGCAUAAAAUUGAGUAAGAACACAUUAAAAAUGACCAUUCUGACUUUAGUUCUCUAAGCCUUAGGAAUGUGGAAAUUCUAGCUAAGAACACACCUAGAUCAACUCAUUUUUACCCUAGGAACAAAUUAAAAUGAACAAAUUAGUUUAAAUAGACAUGUAUCACAAGUUAUGGAUGCUAGAAGUUGGGCAAAGUAAGUAAAAAUGGCAUGAGG